GUCCCGCCAAACGAUGCGCACUAAAUGCAGCAACCAGCCUCCGCGAAGUAAUACCUAACGGUGGUCCCGCGGAGGAGAGUGGUAGAAGAAGUGUGUGUGGGGGGUAGGUUUAGUACGUAUGCGCCAUGGAUGGCGAAUCGUGCAUGCUACUGGUACGGGCCAGUAGUAUCUAUGAAGAUUCCUAACUCCUACUCGC
Molecule: non-coding RNA, 196 nt
Organism: Glossina brevipalpis
Lineage: Eukaryota; Metazoa; Arthropoda; Insecta; Diptera; Glossinidae
Source: Rfam